AAAUCGAUCCGAAAGGAUUUUCUUAACAAGUGUUUGAAUGGUCAAAGAAAUAUGGACCUGUGGUAACCAUUCGCACAGGUCCUGUACAUUUUAUAACUGUGAAUACAAUAGAAACUGCCUUAGAAGUACUUGUAAGAAAAUCUACAGAUUUUGCUGGGCGUAUGUUGACACCAUCAGUUGAUAAGCUAUCAAGUGGAGGGAAGGACAUUGUUUUCAGUAGUUACAGCCCAACAUGGAAACUUCAUAGGGCAAUUGCAACAAAUGCUUUACGG
Ruditapes philippinarum (Manila clam) is the source of this 272-nucleotide long non-coding RNA. RefSeq lists it as uncharacterized. NCBI's taxonomy places the organism in Eukaryota, Metazoa, Mollusca, Bivalvia, Venerida, Veneridae. The transcript has 3 exons. The record is from RefSeq and is a predicted model, not a curated record.